GUCUCUGUAGCUCAGUUGGAUAGAGCGUCCGCCUCCUAAGCGGAAGGCCGCUGGUUCGAAUCCAGUCAGGGACGCCA
RNAcentral lists this transfer RNA (77 nucleotides) under [Clostridium] symbiosum. RNAcentral's name for it is "tRNA-Arg(cct)". It matches the Rfam family "tRNA". Rfam says of the family: Transfer RNA (tRNA) molecules are approximately 80 nucleotides in length. Their secondary structure includes four short double-helical elements and three loops (D, anti-codon, and T loops). Lineage: Bacteria; Bacillati; Bacillota; Clostridia; Lachnospirales; Lachnospiraceae. The record is from RNAcentral.